AUUGAACGCUGGCGGCAGGCCUAACACAUGCAAGUCGAACGGUAACAGGAAGCAGCUUGCUGCUUUGCUGACGAGUGGCGGACGGGUGAGUAAUGUCUGGGAAACUGCCUGAUGGAGGGGGAUAACUACUGGAAACGGUAGCUAAUACCGCAUAACGUCGCAAGACCAAAGAGGGGGACCUUAGGGCCUCUUGCCAUCGGAUGUGCCCAGAUGGGAUUAGCUAGUAGGUGGGGUAACGGCUCACCUAGGCGACGAUCCCUAGCUGGUCUGAGAGGAUGACCAGCCACACUGGAACUGAGACACGGUCCAGACUCCUACGGGAGGCAGCAGUGGGGAAUAUUGCACAAAGGGCGCAAGCCUGAUGCAGCCAUGCCGCGUGUAUGAAGAAGGCCUUCGGGUUGUAAAGUACUUUCAGCGGGGAGGAAGGGAGUAAAGUUAAUACCUUUGCUCAUUGACGUUACCCGCAGAAGAAGCACCGGCUAACUCCGUG
RNAcentral lists this ribosomal RNA (490 nucleotides) under uncultured bacterium. RNAcentral's name for it is "partial 16S ribosomal RNA". It matches the Rfam family "Bacterial small subunit ribosomal RNA", at positions 30 to 507 of the family's 1533-position model. The record is from RNAcentral.